GACGAACGCUGGCGGCGUGCUUAACACAUGCAAGUCGAACGCUGAGGCCUGGCUUUUGUUGGGUGGAUGAGUGGCGAACGGGUGAGUAACACGUGAGUAACCUGCCCCCUUCUUUGGGAUAACGCCCGGAAACGGGUGCUAAUACUGGAUAUUCACUGGCCUUCGCAUGGGGGUUGGUGGAAAGGUUUGUUCUGGUGGGGGAUGGGCUCGCGGCCUAUCAGCUUGUUGGUGGGGUGAUGGCCUACCAAGGCUUUGACGGGUAGCCGGCCUGAGAGGGUGACCGGUCACAUUGGGACUGAGAUACGGCCCAGACUCCUACGGGAGGCAGCAGUGGGGAAUAUUGCACAAUGGGCGAAAGCCUGAUGCAGCGACGCCGCGUGAGGGAUGGAGGCCUUCGGGUUGUAAACCUCUUUCGCUCAUGGUCAAGCCGCAACUGUGGGUUGUGGUGAGGGUAGUGGGUAAAGAAGCGCCGGCUAACUACGUGCCAGCAGCCGCGGUAAUACGUAGGGCGCGAGCGUUGUCCGGAAUUAUUGGGCGUAAAGGGCUUGUAGGCGGUUGGUCGCGUCUGCCGUGAAAUCCUCUGGCUUAACUGGGGGCGUGCGGUGGGUACGGGCUGACUUGAGUGCGGUAGGGGAGACUGGAACUCCUGGUGUAGCGGUGGAAUGCGCAGAUAUCAGGAAGAACACCGGUGGCGAAGGCGGGUCUCUGGGCCGUCACUGACGCUGAGGAGCGAAAGCGUGGGGAGCGAACAGG
This 753-nucleotide ribosomal RNA is filed under the name uncultured Actinomyces sp. RNAcentral's name for it is "bacterial SSU rRNA". It matches the Rfam family "Bacterial small subunit ribosomal RNA", at positions 28 to 776 of the family's 1533-position model. The record is from RNAcentral. Lineage: Bacteria; Bacillati; Actinomycetota; Actinomycetes; Actinomycetales; Actinomycetaceae.